AUGGUGCCUCAUGAUGGUUCGAGUUCAUCCCAAGCCGAGGGAUUAUCUGUUUGUGGCAGGACAAAGGAGAAGAACUCCAAUAAUGGAAAAAGAGGCAAAAGUAAGAACGGCCACAGGGGCUGGUCGCAAUCCAGAGACAAGAAAUAUUGCAGAUAUUGCAAGAGAGACGGGCAUGACAUCUCUGAGUGUUUCAAGUUGCAGAACAAGGAAAAGAGGAAAGGUAACAAACAAGGUGAAAAUUCUGCUAACGUUGCUCGUGAUGAUAGUUCCGAUGAUGCUCUUGUCGUUAUUGCUGGAUGUGCCGAGACCAAUGAUGAGUGGGUACUUGACACUGCAUGCACUUUUCAUAUGUGUCCACAUAGAGAUUGGUUUAAUACUUUUGAUUCCACUACUUCUGCUGGUUCCGUUUUGGGUUUUGAUAAUUCACCAUGCAAGACUGAAGGCAUAGGUUCUAUUCGAAUCAAGAUGUUUGAUGGCAUAAUUAGAACUUUGACAGAUGUUCGGUAUAUUCCGAAGAUGAAGAGAAAUCUUAUUUCUGUGAGUGCCCUUGAUGCAAAGGGGUACAAGUAUUCAGGUGGAGAUAGUGUUUUGGAAGUCACCAAAGAUUCCCUUAUUGUGAUGAAAGGUGACUUAAAUUCGACUAAUGGUCUUUAUUACCUUCGAGGUUCUACCGUUUCAGAUAAAGCUACUCCAGUUAUUUCAAAGAAUUCUGAUUGUGAUGCUGGUAACCUUUGG
This 735-nucleotide ribosomal RNA is filed under the name Triticum aestivum (bread wheat). Its description in RNAcentral is "partial small subunit ribosomal RNA". The record is from RNAcentral. Lineage: Eukaryota; Viridiplantae; Streptophyta; Magnoliopsida; Poales; Poaceae.